AACUUUCGGCAAUGGAUCUCUUGGUUCUCGCAUCGAUGAAGAACGCAGCGAAUUGCGAUAUGUAAUGUGAAUUGCAGAAUUCAGUGAAUCAUCGAAUUUUUGAACGCACAUUGCGCCCUCUAGUAUUCUGGAGGGCAUGCCUGUUUGAGCGUCAUUAACAACUUUCAAGCUCUGCUUGGUUUUGGGCUCUGCUUUUCUAGCAUGCUCUAAAGACAGUGACAGCGUUAGUCUUGGUACAAGCAUAGUAAUAAUAUCUUGCUUGAUGCUUAGGCUUGUGCUUGUCAAAAUACAUUAUCAAGUUGACCUCAGAUCAGGUAGGGAUACCCGCUGAACUUAAGCAUAUCAAUAAGCGGAGGAU
RNAcentral lists this unclassified non-coding RNA (358 nucleotides) under uncultured Basidiomycota. Its description in RNAcentral is "sequence contains ITS2". The stretch from base 1 to 154 matches the Rfam family "5.8S ribosomal RNA". The record is from RNAcentral. Lineage: Eukaryota; Fungi; Basidiomycota.